UACGGGGGGGGCAAGCGUUGUUCGGAAUUACUGGGCGUAAAGGGUUCGUAGGUGGCCGACUAAGUCAGACGUGAAAUCCCUCAGCUCAACUGGGGAACUGCGUCUGAGACUGGCCGGCUUGAGUGCAGGAGAGGAACGCGGAAUUCCAGGUGUAGCGGUGAAAUGCGUAGAUAUCUGGAGGAAUACCGGUGGCGAAGGCGGCAUCCUGGACCGGCAUUGACGCUGAGGAGCGAAAGCUAGGGGAGCAAACGGG
This 253-nucleotide ribosomal RNA is filed under the name uncultured bacterium. RNAcentral describes it as "partial 16S ribosomal RNA". It matches the Rfam family "Bacterial small subunit ribosomal RNA", at positions 524 to 776 of the family's 1533-position model. The record is from RNAcentral.